RNAcentral lists this long non-coding RNA (432 nucleotides) under Bos taurus (domestic cattle). Its description in RNAcentral is "long non-coding RNA NONBTAT011874". Lineage: Eukaryota; Metazoa; Chordata; Mammalia; Artiodactyla; Bovidae. The record is from RNAcentral.
AAGAGCAUGUAAAAUAUGUUUUAUUGUUCUUUAAAAGGGCUCAGGGUUUGGUUUUAAAUCAGGCUGCACACCUUUCAUCAGUCUGACAUCUCUCUCACCAUGUCAAACUGGCUUCAGCUAGCAAUACUUCAUUAAAUCCGAAAGAAAAAAAUUUUUUAAUUUUGAAGAAAAUCCAGUUUUGAGAACAAUUAACAUUAUUCUGUAAUUUACAACAAUAUGAGGGCUGAUGUUGCAUGUUAUUGUACAUACCCUUCUCCUCAUACAGAACCAGGAAUGUCACUUUCCUAACUCAGGCAGGCACUGUUACUGGUGGGUACUGCACACUCGCUCGCUCACUCACACACACAUUGGAUAGUACCAUCAUUUUUUCACUUUAAAAUCCUAGAGACAAUUUCAAAAAGCAUUAUUUUGCUUUGUUUUUUGGGACAGGGG